RNAcentral lists this ribosomal RNA (808 nucleotides) under uncultured Bacillota bacterium. Its description in RNAcentral is "bacterial SSU rRNA". It matches the Rfam family "Bacterial small subunit ribosomal RNA", at positions 58 to 844 of the family's 1533-position model. The record is from RNAcentral. Lineage: Bacteria; Bacillati; Bacillota.
CAAGUCGAGCGCGAAAGGGGAGCAAUCCCCGAGUAAAGCGGCGAACGGGUGAGUAACGCGUGGGUAAUCUGCCUCCGAGUGGGGAACAACACCGGGAAACUGGUGCUAAUACCGCAUGACAUCGUCGGGUCUUCGGGCCUGACGAUCAAAGCCGGGGACCGCAAGGCCUGGCGCUUGGAGAGGAGCCCGCGUCCGAUUAGCUAGUUGGUGGGGUAACGGCCCACCAAGGCAACGAUCGGUAGCCGGCCUGAGAGGGCGGACGGCCACACUGGGACUGAGACACGGCCCAGACUCCUACGGGAGGCAGCAGUGGGGAAUUUUUCGCAAUGGGCGAAAGCCUGACGAAGCAACGCCGCGUGGAGGAUGAAGGCCUUCGGGUCGUAAACUCCUGUCGACCGGGACGAAAGUAGUCUGACCUAAUACGUCGGGCUGUUGACUGUACCGGUGGAGGAAGCCACGGCUAACUCUGUGCCAGCAGCCGCGGUAAUACAGAGGUGGCAAGCGUUGUUCGGAAUUACUGGGCGUAAAGGGCGCGUAGGCGGCUUGGUCAGUCCCGUGUGAAAUCCCUCGGCUCAACUGAGGAACUGCACGGGAAACUGCCUGGCUUGAGUUCGGGAGAGGGAAGCGGAAUUCCGGGUGUAGCGGUGAGAUGCGUAGAUAUCCGGAGGAACACCGGUGGCGAAGGCGGCUUCCUGGACCGACACUGACGCUGAGGCGCGAAAGCUAGGGGAGCAAACGGGAUUAGAUACCCCGGUAGUCCUAGCUGUAAACGAUGAGUGCUGGGUGUAGGAGGUAUCAACCCCUCUGU